This 914-nucleotide ribosomal RNA is filed under the name uncultured bacterium. Its description in RNAcentral is "bacterial SSU rRNA". It matches the Rfam family "Bacterial small subunit ribosomal RNA", at positions 8 to 917 of the family's 1533-position model. The record is from RNAcentral.
AGAGUUUGAUCCUGGCUCAGGAUGAACGCUGGCGGCGUGCCUAACACAUGCAAGUCGAACGGGGUUAAGAGAAAUUUUCGGAUGGACCUUAACUUAGUGGCGGACGGGUGAGUAACGCGUGGAUAACCUGCCUCACACAGGGGGAUAGCAGCUGGAAACGGCUGGUAAUACCGCAUAAGACCACGGCCCCGCAUGGAGCUGUAGUAAAAGAUUUAUCGGUGUGAGAUGGAUCCGCGUCUGAUUAGCCAGUUGGCGGGGUAACGGCCCACCAAAGCGACGAUCAGUAGCCGGCCUGAGAGGGUGAACGGCCACAUUGGGACUGAGACACGGCCCAAACUCCUACGGGAGGCAGCAGUGGGGAAUAUUGCACAAUGGGCGCAAGCCUGAUGCAGCAACGCCGCGUGAGUGAAGAAGUAUUUCGGUAUGUAAAGCUCUAUCAGCAGGGAAGAAAGGCUCUUCGGAGAGAUGACGGUACCUGACUAAGAAGCCCCGGCUAACUACGUGCCAGCAGCCGCGGUAAUACGUAGGGGGCAAGCGUUAUCCGGAUUUACUGGGUGUAAAGGGAGCGCAGACGGCAGUGCAAGUCUGAUGUGAAAGCCCGGGGCUCAACCCCGGAACUGCAUUGGAAACUGUACAGCUUGAGUGUCGGAGAGGUAAGCGGAAUUCCUAGUGUAGCGGUGAAAUGCGUAGAUAUUAGGAGGAACACCGGUGGCGAAGGCGGCUUACUGGACGAUUACUGACGUUGAGGCUCGAAAGCGUGGGGAGCAAACAGGAUUAGAUACCCUGGUAGUCCACGCUGUAAACGAUGAAUACUAGGUGUGGGUGUGCACUGCACAUCCGUGCCGCAGCUAACGCAAUAAGUAUUCCACCUGGGGAGUACGUUCGCAAGAAUGAAACUCAAAGGAAUUGACGGG